RNAcentral lists this unclassified non-coding RNA (229 nucleotides) under Hevea brasiliensis (rubber tree). The record is from RNAcentral. Lineage: Eukaryota; Viridiplantae; Streptophyta; Magnoliopsida; Malpighiales; Euphorbiaceae.
UGAGGAGCGUGUUGCCGUCCUUGGUGAGCUUGAUGUCACCGGCGCCGCCGACGAGCAUCUUGAUGGUGCCCUUGGGACCGAGGUUGGUCUUGAGGACGUCCUGGAGGCCCUUGGCGGCGUUGAUAUUCAUGUGAAGGGCGGCGGACUUGUUGAGCACCUCGGCGUUGGGGUUCAGCACGCGGAGAGACAUCGUGAUCGCCGGUAGCGGAGAUGGGGGCGGGCGGCGGCG